Molecule: unclassified non-coding RNA, 232 nt
Filed under: Hevea brasiliensis (rubber tree)
Lineage: Eukaryota; Viridiplantae; Streptophyta; Magnoliopsida; Malpighiales; Euphorbiaceae
Source: RNAcentral
UAAGGUUUAAUUGUAAUUGUUUUUAUUUUUUACAUUUGUAUGGGAGAGAUAUACAAACCCUAGCUGUUCUCUAAUUCCUAACAAAAUUCAUCUCAUCUCCCCUCUACAACCCAAUCUCCUUUAUUGGUCAUCGUUGGAACCAUUGAUCUCAUCACUCCUCAAAAACUCUACCAAUCCCCUUAACCUAUUGCCAUUCUUGUUAUCAAUGAUCAACCCCACCACUCGCCAUUUG